Molecule: ribosomal RNA, 253 nt
Filed under: uncultured bacterium
Lineage: Bacteria
Description: partial 16S ribosomal RNA
Rfam family: Bacterial small subunit ribosomal RNA
Source: RNAcentral
UACGCGGGGGGCAAGAGUUGUUCGGAAUUACUGGGCGUAAAGCGCACGUAGGCGGAUUUGUAAGUCAGGGGUGAAAUCCCGGGGCUCAACCUCGGAACUGCCUUUGAUACUGCGAGUCUCGAGCACGGAAGAGGUGAGUGGAAUUCCUAGUGUAGAGGUGAAAUGCGUAGAUAUUAGGAAGAACACCAGUGGCGAAGGCGGCUCACUGGGCCGUUGCUGACGCUGAGGUGCGAAAGCGUGGGGAGCAAACAGG